Molecule: ribosomal RNA, 378 nt
Filed under: uncultured organism
Description: partial 16S ribosomal RNA
Rfam family: Bacterial small subunit ribosomal RNA
Source: RNAcentral
GGGGGGGGGAGCAAGCGUUGUUCGGAAUCACUGGGCGUAAAGGGCGCGUAGGGCGGCCGCGUAAGUCGCGUGUGAAAGGGCCGGGGGCUCAACCCCGUGUACUGCAUGUGAUACUGCGUGGCUUGAGAAAGGUAGAGGCGAGCGGAAUUCCCGGUGUAGCGGUGGAAUGCGUAGAUAUCGGGAAGAACACCAGUGGCGAAGGCGGCUCGCUGGGCCUUUUCUGACGCUGUAGCGCGAAAGCGUGGGGAGCAAACAGGAUUAGAUACCCUGGUAGUCCACGCCGUAAACGAUGGGUACUAGGUGUUGGGAGGAUUGACCCUUUCAGUGCCGACGCUAACGCAUUAAGUACCCCGCCUGGGGAGUACGGCCGCAAGGCUG